CAGCAGCAGCCGCGGGAAUACGAAGGGUGCAAACGUUGCUCGGAGUUAUUGGGCGUAAAGCGCACGUAGGCGGCUCCGCAAGUCGGAUGUGAAAUCCCUCGGCUUAACCAAGGAAGUGCAUCCGAAACUGCAGAGCUUGAGUACUUAAGAGGAUCGCGGAAUUCCCGGUGUAGAGGUGAAAUUCGUAGAUAUCGGGAGGAACACCAGUGGCGAAGGCGGCGAUCUGGGAAGAUACUGACGCUGAGGUGCGAAAGCGUGGGGAGCAAACAGGAUUAGAUACCCCUGUAGUCCCUGUCUCUUAUAC
Molecule: ribosomal RNA, 304 nt
Filed under: uncultured bacterium
Lineage: Bacteria
Description: partial 16S ribosomal RNA
Rfam family: Bacterial small subunit ribosomal RNA
Source: RNAcentral